AGUUUGGGGCAGACUAACCACGCACUCUGUUUGUCCGUGAGACUCUCCUUAGCGAGCCACGGCUGACUGAGGACCCUCUGUGGCGGAAAUACUCCAUUUCCCCGCGUUGUGGCCGCAGGUGUCGAGGCGGCGGGACGCGUCCCUCGCCUGUCGGGAGAGGCGCCGCGCACUGCGAGGCCUUGGGUGCGGGUGACCCUUACUGGCACUUAAUAUGUGGCUUCAAGCAGACACUUCAGGAGAAGGGAUUAUAAAAGUUACGGCAAUAUAAUCCAACUACGGAGGUAGGACACGAAUGUUGUCAACAAGAGUAAGAGUAUUGCGCCGAAUGUCAAAGGUCCCACAGGUUCCUUCCUAAUAGAGCAUGACUAAGAUUCAGUGAAAUAUAAAGAAAGGUCGCCGGUGGAGCGGUCUUGGCGGAAUCAAUACUGACAAUCAGAGACAUUGUAAAUUGAUAGAAGCCUGCGACUCUCCCUAUUAACACAGGUUUCAGAAGCUGCAUGACGCUCCUCCUUUUCUCCUACACUUGCGUACUAACAGUUAACUUACACCAGGUUUUUGUUCCGGCACGCACUUUUCCUAUUAUUCAUCAAUGACUUUCGCUCUCCAGUCCAGUGGCCGACCCAACCCUUGCUUUGAUAAAUGACGCUACUUUUCUUUCUGAGCCUCGUAGGAGACAUGAGCCUCUCAUCAAUUACCACUUGUUUCCAGACGAGUUGCUAAAGAUCGCUCAACUAGACCACUUUGUCAAUAGGAAACGGGAAACCUGAUGAUCUUUACUGCCAUAAAAACUCACAUUCAUUUUUCUGAUAUUUCCACAGAGAAUAUGGUGAUCCCUACCUCCUUAAAAACUGACUCUUCUUAUAUUUCCAUAGAUAUUUCCAGUCAUAUUUACACUUCUCUUAUUUAAACCAAUUGCUAUUUUUUUCGAGGAGUUGCUACAGAACGCUAAACUAGAUAUCUUUCUCAGUAGAGGACGGAGAGCUUGAUAAUCGCUUCCUCCUUAUAAAUUUACAGUUCCCAUAUUCCAGGUAACUCUUCCAAUAUUUCCACUAAUAAGCUGUUUCUAGAAGACUUGCUACAGAUCACUACAUUAGAUUCCUUUAUAAAUAGAUGACGGUGAACCUGAUGAUCCCUACUGCCCCAAAAACUCACAUCCACUCAACUCUCACUUCAAAUUCACACUCCUCAUAUUCUCAUUAAUUAGUUGCUUCCCGAUUUCUUUCUUAACGGGAGGUGGAGUACCUGAUGAUCCCUGAACCCUCAAAAAACCUCAAAUUCACACCUCUGACAUUUCCAAAACUAUCACCUUCCACACAACCUUUACAUCCUCAUUAAGAAAGCUCCAAUAAUCCACGCUCCUUCGCAGCUGACAUGCUUAAUUUCAAUAGAAAUCUGGAGUGGAAAGGUUGGAUCUGUGCUCUUGUCAUAUCAGCUUCAAUGGCGUUAGAUAUUCUGUACCGUCUCUGUCAAUUCAGGGUCUACAACACCAAGGGCUCAUCUGGGUGCGAGGAUUGUUGCUGCUGCCUUAUGGAGAGCUGGGGAUGGGGGCUCAGGGAGAAGUUGGUUUGGUACGAGCCUUCACUUUUUGUUAUGGUGUCCAGAGUAUAAGGGUGAAAGAAAGGGAAGUGUAAGACUGCAAAAAACCAUUCAGAGGAGUAGGCGGAGGAGGAGGAGGAAGAGGAGGAGAAUCUCUGUAUCUAUCUUUUUUAUCUAUCUAUCUUUCUCUGUCUCUCAACUCUCCGCUUCUGUCCAUCUUACUAAUGCAAAAGUUAAUCAGUAUCUUCACUCCUUCACCUUCUUCACGUGUAACAAGUUCCACAAAAGUCCACCGCGCUAUACAUUAUUUUCUCAUCCUCUCACAACUUGGAGGCUCGAGUGAUGACAUUAUGAUAACACUUACAGUACUUCUGAAACUGUGACAAGUAAAAAAUGCCUUAGUUAGAAUGUCAAGGCUCAGAAGUAUUUCGGAUUUGGGAAUACAAACAGAUAUCUAUUUACGGUGGUGCCAGGAUGCGAGAAUAAAUCAAUAGAAAAUGCUCAAUGAAUCACUAAAUAUAUGAGUGGGUAAAAUAAGAAAAAGAAUUGUAUUGGGACAUCUUUACAUCUUGUCUGCUCUGUAUGCUGUACAAAUUACCAAUUUAGCUUUAUUUUUUUAUUUAUUUAUUUUUUUUUUUUUUUGUUGGAGGAAGGUAAGAAGGAGCGGCAAAUUAACGUUUUUUUCUGAUCUUUCUGUUCUUGGCUGGUUUUCCUGAAGCAUUAAAGAAAGAAAAAGGAAAAA
Molecule: long non-coding RNA, 2278 nt
Organism: Scylla paramamosain (green mud crab)
Lineage: Eukaryota; Metazoa; Arthropoda; Malacostraca; Decapoda; Portunidae
Exons: 2
Source: RefSeq, a predicted model, not a curated record